AUGGACGACUCCGCCCUGUUCAUGGAAUGGGCCAUGGACACGCUGGAGCAGGAGCACCCAGACCCGGUGGUGGUCCACGUCAACGGCGACUCCGGCGAGGCAGCCUUUCCCUCGCUUCAGGCGCUCCGUGAGCAGCGUCUCGUCUUCGAAGAGCUGAUUACGGGAGCCAAUCCGGCAAACAGCGCGAGCUCCGGCGAAACUACAGACGGUAGCGGAGGUUCAGGCAAUUUCUCGUCCCCGGCGGCCAUGGAGCACGACGUCUGGCGCCCGUCCCCGAACUCGGCCAGGUGCGCUCCGAAGCUUUGCAGGAACGGUGGGGGCACCAGCCUUCCCGUGACGAGCUGGAAUUUCUGCGCCGCCUCCGCGCUGCCGGCCAGUGACGGCACACUGGACAGCGGCAGCGCCGGGGCCGGGCCUGUCGUCCCGGAGAUGGUGUACGGGUCCCAGCCGACGAGGAGGACCGCCGCAAGGAGCCCUACCAGCACCGGACCCGUGUCGUCGGGGCCGCCGUACGCGCAGGACCAUAUCAUGGCGGAGCGGAAGCGCCGGGAGAAGAUUAACCAGCGCUUCAUCGAGCUCUCCACCGUCAUCCCCGGCCUCAAGAAGAUGGACAAGGCGACGAUCCUUUCCGACGCGACGAGGCACGUCAAGGAGCUGCAAGAGAAGAUCAAGGCCCUGGAGGCAGCCGCCGGCCGCAGCAGCAGGAGCAACGAGACCGUGGUACUCAUCAAGAAGAAGCCGCGCCACGCCGACGCCGCCCUUUCAGACCAGAACGGCUUGACCUCGUCGGCGUCAUCGGGGGCGCCUUCUGGGGGGAAUAACCCGCUGCCGGAGAUCGAGGUGCGGUUCUCGGAGACCGGCGUCAUGGUGAGGAUCCUCUGCCACGACGUCCAGGGGGUGGUGGUGAGGGUGCUGUCGGAGGUGGAAGAGGGGCUCCACCUCACCGUCACCCACGCCAAUGUCAUGCCCUUCACGGCCUGCACUGUCAUCAUAACCAUCACGGCCAAGGUGGAUGAGGGCUUCACCGUUACGGCAGAGGAGAUCGUAGGAAGACUCAACUCUGUGCUGCAAUUGCAUAGCAGCUGCACUUCUACCGAUGAAAAAUGA
Molecule: ribosomal RNA, 1107 nt
Filed under: Triticum aestivum (bread wheat)
Lineage: Eukaryota; Viridiplantae; Streptophyta; Magnoliopsida; Poales; Poaceae
Description: partial small subunit ribosomal RNA
Source: RNAcentral